GUCCAAAGAGACGUGACAGCAAUGUAUCGAGCUCCUGGAAAUAGUGCAAUUUAUAAAGAUUUUAAGGACAGAGUUGAUGUGGCCAUAAAGGAAUUGGUACAAAAGAAAGCAGAACUCAAAGAAGAAGAGAACCAGCUUCAGGUACUACAGUUGAGAAUGAAAAAACUAGAGGAUGCAAUAAAGGCAAAGGAAGACGCAAUGAAGGUUUUGGUUGAUGAUUGGCCUUCUUAAAUCCAAAGAAGGAAAAUGAGGUAGCCUGUGGCAACGAAUUCCAUUUGAACAUGAGAACAACAAACAACUCUUAUAGUUUUACCUAUAUUACAC
This is a long non-coding RNA of Saccostrea echinata, 324 nucleotides long. RefSeq lists it as uncharacterized. Lineage: Eukaryota; Metazoa; Mollusca; Bivalvia; Ostreida; Ostreidae. The record is from RefSeq and is a predicted model, not a curated record. The transcript is spliced from 6 exons.